AGUUACCGCUCUAUAACCCUUUGUGAACAUACCUAUAACUGUUGCUUCGGCGGGUAGGGUCUCCGUGACCCUCCCGGCCUCCCGCCCCCGGGCGGGUCGGCGCCCGCCGGAGGAUAACCAAACUCUGAUUUAACGACGUUUCUUCUGAGUGGUACAAGCAAAUAAUCAAAACUUUUAACAACGGAUCUCUUGGUUCUGGCAUCGAUGAAGAACGCAGCGAAAUGCGAUAAGUAAUGUGAAUUGCAGAAUUCAGUGAAUCAUCGAAUCUUUGAACGCACAUUGCGCCCGCCAGCAUUCUGGCGGGCAUGCCUGUUCGAGCGUCAUUUCAACCCUCAAGCUCUGCUUGGUGUUGGGGCCCUACAGCUGAUGUAGGCCCUCAAAGGUAGUGGCGGACCCUCCCGGAGCCUCCUUUGCGUAGUAACUUUACGUCUCGCACUGGGAUCCGGAGGGACUCUUGCCGUAAAACCCCCAAUUUUCCAAAGGUUGACCUCGGAUCAGGUAGGAAUACCCGCUGAACUUAA
This 521-nucleotide ribosomal RNA is filed under the name Colletotrichum siamense. RNAcentral describes it as "eukaryotic LSU rRNA". The stretch from base 170 to 323 matches the Rfam family "5.8S ribosomal RNA". Lineage: Eukaryota; Fungi; Ascomycota; Sordariomycetes; Glomerellales; Glomerellaceae. The record is from RNAcentral. RNAcentral also lists the same sequence under 1 other name.